This 205-nucleotide ribosomal RNA is filed under the name uncultured bacterium. RNAcentral describes it as "partial 16S ribosomal RNA". It matches the Rfam family "Bacterial small subunit ribosomal RNA", at positions 524 to 722 of the family's 1533-position model. The record is from RNAcentral.
GACGUAGGGCGCGAGCGUGUCCGGAUUUAUUGGGGCGUAAAAGAGCUCGUAGGCGGCUCGUUGCGUCAAUCGUGAAAACCUACUGCUUAACGGUGGGCUUGCGGUUGAUACGGGCGGGCUGGAGUUCGGUAGGGGGAGACUGGAAUUCCUGGUGUAGCGGUGAAAAUGCGCAGAUAUCAGGGAGGGAAACACCGGUGGCGAAGGC